RNAcentral lists this ribosomal RNA (908 nucleotides) under Penicillium cosmopolitanum. RNAcentral's name for it is "LSU rRNA". It matches the Rfam family "Eukaryotic large subunit ribosomal RNA", at positions 38 to 960 of the family's 3401-position model. Lineage: Eukaryota; Fungi; Ascomycota; Eurotiomycetes; Eurotiales; Aspergillaceae. The record is from RNAcentral.
GCAUAUCAAUAAGCGGAGGAAAAGAAACCAACCGGGAUUGCCCUUAGUAACGGCGAAGUGAAGCGGCAAGAAGCUCAAAUUUGAAAGCUGGCUCCUUCGGGGUCCGCAUUGUAAUUUGCAGAGGAUGCUUCGGGAGCGGUCCCCAUCUAAGUGCCCUGGAACGGGCCGUCAUAGAGGGUGAGAAUCCCGUAUGGGAUGGGGUGCCCGCGCCCGUGUGAAGCUCCUUCGACGAGUCGAGUUGUUUGGGAAUGCAGCUCUAAUUGGGUGGUAAAUUUCAUCUAAAGCUAAAUAUUGGCCGGAGACCGAUAGCGCACAAGUAGAGUGAUCGAAAGAUGAAAAGCACUUUGAAAAGAGAGUUAAACAGCACGUGAAAUUGUUGAAAGGGAAGCGCUUGCGAUCAGACUCGCUCGCGGGGUUCAGCCGGCCUUCGGGCCGGUGUACUUCCCCGCGGGCGGGCCAGCGUCGGUUUGGGCGGCCGGUCAAAGGCCCCUGGAAUGUAACGCCUCUCGGGGCGUCUUAUAGCCAGGGGUGCCAUGCGGCCUGCCCGGACCGAGGAACGCGCUUCGGCUCGGACGCUGGCAUAAUGGUCGUAAGCGACCCGUCUUGAAACACGGACCAAGGAGUCUAACAUCUACGCGAGUGUUCGGGUGUCAAACCCGUGCGCGCAGUGAAAGCGAACGGAGGUGGGAACCCCUCGGGGUGCACCAUCGACCGAUCCUGAUGUCUUCGGAUGGAUUUGAGUAAGAGCGUAGCUGUUGGGACCCGAAAGAUGGUGAACUAUGCCUGAAUAGGGCGAAGCCAGAGGAAACUCUGGUGGAGGCUCGCAGCGGUUACUGACGUGCAAAUCGAUCGUCAAAUUUGGGUAUAGGGGCGAAAGACUAAUCGAACCAUCUAGUAGCUGGUCUGCG